Molecule: non-coding RNA, 81 nt
Organism: Lachnospiraceae bacterium JC7
Lineage: Bacteria; Bacillati; Bacillota; Clostridia; Lachnospirales; Lachnospiraceae
Source: Rfam
GGGGUUGUGGCGGAAUUGGCAGACGCGCAGGAUUUAGGUUCCUGUGUCCAUGACGUGAGGGUUCAAGUCCCUUCGACCCCA